RNAcentral lists this ribosomal RNA (242 nucleotides) under uncultured Streptococcus sp. RNAcentral's name for it is "partial 16S ribosomal RNA". It matches the Rfam family "Bacterial small subunit ribosomal RNA", at positions 1142 to 1382 of the family's 1533-position model. The record is from RNAcentral. Lineage: Bacteria; Bacillati; Bacillota; Bacilli; Lactobacillales; Streptococcaceae.
AGCGAGACGUGCCGGUAAUAAACCGGAGGAAGGUGGGGAUGACGUCAAAUCAUCAUGCCCCUUAUGACCUGGGCUACACACGUGCUACAAUGGUUGGUACAACGAGUUGCGAGUCGGUGACGGCGAGCUAAUCUCUUAAAGCCAAUCUCAGUUCGGAUUGUAGGCUGCAACUCGCCUACAUGAAGUCGGAAUCGCUAGUAAUCGCGGAUCAGCACGCCGCGGUGAAUACGUUCCCGGGCCUU